Molecule: unclassified non-coding RNA, 240 nt
Filed under: soil metagenome
Description: partial contains 5.8S ribosomal RNA, internal transcribed spacer 2, and large subunit ribosomal RNA
Source: RNAcentral
AACCAUAGAAACCUGCGGAGUACCUGCGGAAGGAUCAUUAACAAGCCCGUGAAGAUCACCUUCCAAAACAGGAUGUGUGAUCUCUCACCCGGCCACCCUUGUUUACCUUAAACCUGUUGCCUUGGUGGGCCCGCCAGCUAGGCCGCUGGGGAACUUAGUUUCCGGGCGAGUGCUCACCAGAGUCCCAUUGAACUCUUUCUGAAGUUAUGCUGUCUGAGCAUGUGCAAAACAAAUGUUAGA